RNAcentral lists this long non-coding RNA (414 nucleotides) under Pongo abelii (Sumatran orangutan). RNAcentral describes it as "lincRNA". Lineage: Eukaryota; Metazoa; Chordata; Mammalia; Primates; Hominidae. The record is from RNAcentral.
UUAUAAUUGGUGGAUGGGAGGACACAGAUUAGGAACACAGAAACAAAUGAGGUAACUUCUGUCACUGUCACCACCAUGACAACCCCCUGCUGGAAAGGCAUGAGUCAUCCCAGCUGAGGACAUCCUAAAUCAGCCAGCCCCCAGCCAACCUACCCACUGACCACAGAUGCAUGAACAGGGUCUUGCUCUGUCUCCCAAGCUGGAGUGUAGCAGCAUGAUCAUGGCUCACUGUGCAGCCUCAACCUCCUGGUCUCAAGUAAUCCUCCUGCCUCAGCCUCCCAAGUAGCUGGGACUAUAGGUUGAGAGGUCAUUCUUACCAACAGCAGCAAAGACCAACUCAUAGAAUCAGCGAUGAAUCUUCGUGUUUCAGCAGAGGGAAAAUAACCGCCUUUAGCUCACCUCGCGAUUGCUGUA